AUGCUUAAUGAAGUUAACGCGAGAUAUUCACCGAAGUGAGGGCGAGCAAGGAUAAAUUUCCUUCCCCCUUUAAAGACCUUGUACCGGAUCCAAAAAAUUCAGUGACCGAAGAGUCACUGUAUGGUGUGACAACAACAAUUCAUGAAGUGCAAGCUGUAUUGUUGAGUAUGAUUCACAAAGACACUAUACUAGUAGGACACAGCUUGGAAAGUGACCUCAAAGCAACAAAGAUAAUUCACAAUAAAGUAAUUGAUACCUCUGUGGUAUUUCCCCGCCGACUGGGACCUCCUUACAAGAGAGCUCUUCAUAAUCUCAUGGCUGAACACUUCAAAAAGAUUAUUCAGGAUAGUG
Molecule: non-coding RNA, 351 nt
Organism: Pocillopora verrucosa
Lineage: Eukaryota; Metazoa; Cnidaria; Anthozoa; Scleractinia; Pocilloporidae
Source: RefSeq, a predicted model, not a curated record